Molecule: non-coding RNA, 29 nt
Filed under: Rattus norvegicus (Norway rat)
Lineage: Eukaryota; Metazoa; Chordata; Mammalia; Rodentia; Muridae
Source: RNAcentral
AGCACAGUUAACACCUGGGAAUUGUCAGC